RNAcentral lists this non-coding RNA (217 nucleotides) under Bacillus sp. (in: firmicutes). RNAcentral's name for it is "Bacillus sp. T-box sequence". It matches the Rfam family "T-box leader". From Rfam's summary of the family: Uncharged tRNA acts as the effector for transcription antitermination of genes in the T-box leader family. T-boxes are found upstream of many aminoacyl-tRNA synthetase genes and some amino acid biosynthetic genes usually in Gram-positive bacteria. Lineage: Bacteria; Bacillati; Bacillota; Bacilli; Caryophanales; Bacillaceae. The record is from RNAcentral.
GCAAUGGCUAUGAUAAAGAGUAGUACAUUUAUUUUUGGUUCCUAGAGAGCUUGUGGUGGGUGCAAACAAGUAACCAAGUAAAUCGAAUGGACUUUUGAGCCUUCUGUCAAAGACGUACCCUCACGUUAUAGGGGUUCCAUGUAUAUCAUAUGCAUGGUUUCGAGUGACUCAAAUACUUGAGUAAUUAGGGUGGCAACGCGGACCAUUCGUCCCUAUU